Molecule: ribosomal RNA, 254 nt
Filed under: uncultured bacterium
Lineage: Bacteria
Description: partial 16S ribosomal RNA
Rfam family: Bacterial small subunit ribosomal RNA
Source: RNAcentral
CACGUAGGGGGCAAGCGUUGUCCGGAUUUAUUGGGCGUAAAGAGCUCGUAGGCGGUUCGGCAAGUCGGGUGUGAAACCCCCAGGCUCAACCUGGGGACGCCACCCGAUACUGCUGUGACUUGAGUCCGGUAGGGGAGCGUGGAAUUCCUGGUGUAGCGGUGAAAUGCGCAGAUAUCGGGAAGAACACCCGUGGCGAAGGCGGUUCUCUGGGACGGUACUGACGCUGAGACGCGAAAGCGUGGGGAGCGAACAGG